CAGGGAGAACCAACCUCAAAUGAUGAUCACCACUUUUUAGUGAUCCAUUUGACUGUUCAUUCCUAUGGUCGAUCGGUACCUCAGUGAGUGAAAUUCACUCAUCUCGGUCCUUAAGCUUGUCUAGGUCACCACCCCUUAGCUGAUAAGCUUAGUGGGAUGGGCCCGAGGGGGUUCCUGGGCCAUUAGCUCAGUGGUUAGAGCGCACCCCUGAUAAGGGUGAGUCCCUGGUUCAAGUCCAGGAUGGCCCAUCGGGAUUGGGGGUUUAGCUCAGCUGGUAGAGCGCCUGCUUUGCAAGCAGGAUGUCAGCGGUUCGAGUCCGCUAACCUCCAUUAUUCUUGAUAAUGGAACUGUGGCACAGGGUGACAUAGACGGAUGUUGGUGAUUCCAGCCUCGUUUGAUUCUUGAUUCAAGCUCAAACGAUGCUGGGCUCAGCAACGGGUUCAGCAAGAACCUUGACAACUGCAUAGGUAAGUCUGGAAAUAAAGCAUCUCACAGAGAUGUUCCAGGCAUGAAGUGAUUCGCGUUUAACAGCGUGAUUUGCUUGAUGUUUGGUUCAACAAUUCUGGAGAAAGCCGAGUCCUGAUUAUUUUGAUCAGGAAAAAAAU
RNAcentral lists this transfer RNA (605 nucleotides) under uncultured Synechococcus sp. RNAcentral describes it as "16S-23S ribosomal RNA intergenic spacer". The stretch from base 177 to 248 matches the Rfam family "tRNA". Lineage: Bacteria; Bacillati; Cyanobacteriota; Cyanophyceae; Synechococcales; Synechococcaceae. The record is from RNAcentral.